Molecule: long non-coding RNA, 2565 nt
Filed under: Homo sapiens (human)
Lineage: Eukaryota; Metazoa; Chordata; Mammalia; Primates; Hominidae
Description: HSALNT0395571
Source: RNAcentral
AUGGAUUUCUCCGCCGGGCGUGCACGGGCCGAGAAUUUCAAUCCGGGCGGCUCCGCCGUUUCCUAAACUCGAGGCGUCCAGGGAGAGGGCGUUACACACACACUCGCCGGAGCGCUCGGGCCCUGGGAAUCGGCAAACGCUGCGGGUUCCAGCCCCGCGACUCAGGCCGGGCGAAGAUUAGAGUCACCGCCUCAGUUCCUCCAUCUGUAAAGUGGGACCCAGGAGGGUCGGACCCCCAGGGGUGUGGCUGGCGGCAGCGUAGGUCUUCGGGGCUGCGGACUCCCGGCCCCCGGGACCCCCCUGUCCCGCUGUGGAAACUGGCACGGGGACCGGAGGGCGGAUCCCCCGGGCACUUGCCGAGGCCACUGACCCAGGUCUGGAUGUUCCCCGAGGCCCAAGGUCACCACUGGGCCCCCCCGGGGACUGACGAGAGGCCUCUGGCGGGAAAAGGGGCUGGCUCAGGCAGGCAGCAGGCCCCAGAACCCCCCGCACACGCGGGCACAGGAAGCCCCAGCAAUGCCCCUCCCUCCAAUUUCUCAACCCGUGAUGGGAAAAGAAGAGAAAAGGAAGAAAGAUUUCCUCCAAAGCUUCACUGUGGCAGAAUUCCGCUCUGAGGUCCUUACCCGCCUCCAGGCAGCCCUCCCUGCUCGCCGCUCACCACGGGCACAGGGCACAAAUUGUGUCCUUCUUCUGCUCUAAACUCUGCUGUGGCUCCCCAGUGCCCUCAGGAGAAAAACCAAACUCCUCCCUGCGGCCCAUGAAGCCCUCAGCAGGCUUGGCAUCCCCUGCUCCAGCCACACCAGCUGCCCGAAGGACACACCAGGCUCCAGGUGGCCCCCAGCCCUUUGCAUUGGCUGCUCCAUGAGAAACCUGGCUCCUUCUCGCCCUUCUGAACUCAGCUCAAAGGACCCCUCCUCCAGGAAGCCCUCCUGCCUGCCCCCUUAGACAUUUCCAAGACAGAGAGAGACAGAGAGACGGGGAGAUAACCAGCUCUUUCAAGCUCACGUCCUGUAGGCUCCCCGAGGGUAGGCACCAGCUCUUUCUUUUUUUCUAUUUUAUUUUUAUGCUAUUUUCAGACACUCAUGGACAUGGACUUGGUGCCAGACACCCCUCCAAGUGGUUUACAGAGAUGAAGUUUUUGGUGCCAUAAACACCGGUUAUGCGACAUCCUGAGGUGGGGACUGAGGUAGUUCCCUUUCACCAGUGCCCAAUCAAUGCAUGUGUAUUUUAUAUGGAUGCCAGUCACGCUGCGCCAGGCCCACUCGAACGACCUCGUCAUAACUCGGUCACAUCUGCCAAGGCCCUAUUUUUUUUUUUUUUUUUUUGAGACGGAGUGUCGCUGUGUCGCCCAGGUUGGAGUGCGGUGGCGCGAUCUCGGCUCACUGCAAGCGCCGCCUUCCGGGUUCACACCAUUCUCCUGCCUCAGCCUCCCGAGUAGCUGGGACUACAGGCGCCUGCCGCCACCACGCCCGGCUAAUUUUGUUUUUGUAUUUUUCAUAGAGACGGGGUUUCACCGUGUUAGCCAGGAUGGUCUCGAUCUUCUGACCUUGUGAUCCGCCUGCCUCGGCCUCCCAAAGUGCUGGGAUUACAGGCGUGAGCCACCGCGCCCGGCCGCAAAGGCCCUAUUUCUAAAUAAAGUCCCAUUCACAAGUUUCAGGGGCCAGGAUGUGAACAGAUCUUCCAGGAGACACCAAGCAGCCUCAGUGUCCAUUGAUGGAUCCGGGCCCUCCCUUCAAGCCUUUUCCCAUCCCCCCUCCACCUCCUGCACCGAGACCCCAGCAUGAAGCUUCCUCGGGCCUCACCGACCUCUGCUAAGUCCAGGAGACGCUGUGAGCACCCGAGGGUAGGGCCUGAGGCUCCCUGCCCCCACCUGGGCUGGCACCUGGGAGAGGAGGGUUCCCCUCAGCAGUUAGCUGUGGGCUGGCUGUGCGCCCCUUGCCAAGCUCCUGGGACACGGGCUGAGCAGAGCCCAGGGUGCCCCAGCCCCUUCCCGAGUCCCUGCUGGGCCCGUGUCGCCCACUGAUGGGGAGAUGCCCAAGUUCUGUGACCCCGGGGGCAGGAUGGUGAGGCGGCCCCUGGGGACCCAGAGUCCUGCCCUGCCAGGGCCUCCUGCACCCUCAACCCCAAACCCAGAAAAGUCAGGCGGAGCCCAAGGCCAGAGCAGGCCAGUCACAGCUGGGAGGCGGGGGGCCCAGGGGCCAGGAAGGCCGGGAUGGAGCCCUCGGCCCAUCGCCCUGCACAGCCGCCCCUGCGCUGCCUCUGUCUCCCCAUGUCUCUCUGUCUCUCUCCGACUUGCUGUAUCUCUGUAUCCCUCUGUCUCUCUGUGUCUCUUUCUCUGUCUCUGUCCGACUCGAUCUAUCUCUGUCUCCCUCUGUCUCUCUGUCUCUUUCUCUGUCUCCUUCCCUCUCUGUCUCUGUUUAUCUCUAUUUCUGUCUCUCCCUCUCUCUGUUUCCCUCUGUCUCUGUCUUUGUCUCUCUGUUUUUGUCUGUCUCCCCCAUCUCUGUCUCUCUGUCUCCCUCUGUCUCUGUCUCUCUGUCUCUGUCUCCUUCUGUCUCUGUCACUGUC